GAUAACGGCGUCGAGCGGCGGACGGGUGAGUAAUGCCUAGGAAAUUGCCCUGAUGUGGGGGAUAACCAUUGGAAACGAUGGCUAAUACCGCAUGAUGCCUACGGGCCAAAGAGGGGGACCUUCGGGCCUCUCGCGUCAGGAUAUGCCUAGGUGGGAUUAGCUAGUUGGUGAGGUAAGGGCUCACCAAGGCGACGAUCCCUAGCUGGUCUGAGAGGAUGAUCAGCCACACUGGAACUGAGACACGGUCCAGACUCCUACGGGAGGCAGCAGUGGGGAAUAUUGCACAAUGGGCGCAAGCCUGAUGCA
This 306-nucleotide ribosomal RNA is filed under the name Vibrio parahaemolyticus. RNAcentral's name for it is "bacterial SSU rRNA". It matches the Rfam family "Bacterial small subunit ribosomal RNA", at positions 78 to 390 of the family's 1533-position model. The record is from RNAcentral. Lineage: Bacteria; Pseudomonadati; Pseudomonadota; Gammaproteobacteria; Vibrionales; Vibrionaceae.